This 479-nucleotide ribosomal RNA is filed under the name uncultured bacterium. RNAcentral's name for it is "bacterial SSU rRNA". It matches the Rfam family "Bacterial small subunit ribosomal RNA", at positions 28 to 497 of the family's 1533-position model. The record is from RNAcentral.
GAUGAACGCUAGCGGCAGGCUUAACACAUGCAAGUCGAGGGGUAGGUUACUUCGGUAAUUGAGACCGGCGCACGGGUGCGUAACGCGUAUACAAUCUACCUUUUACAGAGGGAUAGCCCAGAGAAAUUUGGAUUAAUACCUCAUAGUAUUUUUGAAUCGCAUGAUUUGAUUAUUAAAGUUCCAACGGUAAAAGAUGAGUAUGCGUCCCAUUAGCUAGAUGGUAAGGUAACGGCUUACCAUGGCUACGAUGGGUAGGGGUCCUGAGAGGGAGAUCCCCCACACUGGUACUGAGACACGGACCAGACUCCUACGGGAGGCAGCAGUGAGGAAUAUUGGGACAAAUGGGGCGGCAAGCCUGAUCCAGCCAUGCCGCGUGCAGGAAGAAGGUCCUAUGGAUUGUAAACUGCUUUUAUUACAGGAAGAAACAACUCCCUUCCGUGAGGGAACGUUGACGGGUACCUGUAUGAAUAAGGACCGGC